This 200-nucleotide long non-coding RNA is filed under the name Elaeis guineensis (African oil palm). RNAcentral describes it as "long non-coding RNA (EGUI_LNC006142)". The record is from RNAcentral. Lineage: Eukaryota; Viridiplantae; Streptophyta; Magnoliopsida; Arecales; Arecaceae.
CUUGCCAUUCUUCAUUCCAUUAAAUUAAACUUUGCCUCAACUCAUGCCUUGCAUUUCAUCCCAUUGAUUCAACCUCCUUUCACCUCCUCUCAUAUAGUUGUGUUUAAUUCUAUCAUUUGUUUCAAAUUUUAUCGAUUAUUUAUUUUUAGUAUUAUUCUAAUUUGUAAACCUGUAUGUUAAAAGUAUCUAUUUUUACCAUG